RNAcentral lists this ribosomal RNA (253 nucleotides) under uncultured bacterium. Its description in RNAcentral is "partial 16S ribosomal RNA". It matches the Rfam family "Bacterial small subunit ribosomal RNA", at positions 524 to 776 of the family's 1533-position model. The record is from RNAcentral.
UACGUAGGGCGCAAGCGUUAUCCGGAAUUAUUGGGCGUAAAGCGCGCGCAGGUGGUUCCUUAAGUCUGAUGUGAAAGCCCACGGCUCAACCGUGGAGGGUCAUUGGAAACUGGGGGACUUGAGUGCAGAAGAGGAAAGUGGAAUUCCAAGUGUAGCGGUGAAAUGCGUAGAGAUUUGGAGGAACACCAGUGGCGAAGGCGACUUUCUGGUCUGUAACUGACACUGAGGCGCGAAAGCGUGGGGAGCAAACAGG